AGUGAACGCUGGCGGUAGGCCUAACACAUGCAAGUCGAACGGCAGCACAGUAAGAGCUUGCUCUUACGGGUGGCGAGUGGCGGACGGGUGAGGAAUACAUCGGAAUCUACUUUUUCGUGGGGGAUAACGUAGGGAAACUUACGCUAAUACCGCAUACGACCUACGGGUGAAAGCAGGGGAUCUUCGGACCUUGCGCGAUUGAAUGAGCCGAUGUCGGAUUAGCUAGUUGGCGGGGUAAAGGCCCACCAAGGCGACGAUCCGUAGCUGGUCCGAGAGGAUGAUCAGCCACACUGGAACUGAGACACGGUCCAGACUCCUACGGGAGGCAGCAGUGGGGAAUAUUGGACAAUGGGCGCAAGCCUGAUCCAGCCAUACCGCGUGGAUGAAGAAGGCCUUCGGGUUGUAAAGCCCUUUUGUUGGGAAAGAAAAGCAGCAGGUUAAUACCCCGCUGUUCUGACGGUACCCAAAGAAUAAGCACCGGCUAACUUCGUG
This 492-nucleotide ribosomal RNA is filed under the name uncultured bacterium. RNAcentral's name for it is "partial 16S ribosomal RNA". It matches the Rfam family "Bacterial small subunit ribosomal RNA", at positions 29 to 507 of the family's 1533-position model. The record is from RNAcentral.